CCUACGGGAGGCAGCAGUGGGGAAUAUUGGACAAUGGGGGGAACCCUGAUCCAGCCAUGCCGCGUGUGUGAAGAAGGCCUUUUGGUUGUAAAGCACUUUAAGCGAGGAGGAGGCUCCCUAGACUAAUACUCUAGGAGAGUGGACGUUACUCGCAGAAUAAGCACCGGCUAACUCUGUGCCAGCAGCCGCGGUAAUACAGAGGGUGCAAGCGUUAAUCGGAUUUACUGGGCGUAAAGGGUACGUAGGUGGUCUUUUAAGUCGGAUGUGAAAUCCCUGAGCUUAACUUAGGAAUUGCAUUCGAUACUGAGAGACUAGAGUAUGGGAGAGGAUGGUAGAAUUCCAGGUGUAGCGGUGAAAUGCGUAGAGAUCUGGAGGAAUACCGAUGGCGAAGGCAGCCAUCUGGCCUAAUACUGACACUGAGGUACGAAAGCAUGGGGAGCAAACAGGAUUAGAUACCCUGGUAGUCCAUGCCGUAAACGAUGUCUACUAGCCGUUGGGGUCUUUGAGACUUUAGUGGCGCNGCACGACGAGAGUAGACGCCGUCGGGAGGUACGGUCGCGACGAACGAAACGUAACGAAAGAAAGUAGUACGGACGUGAGACGACGACGACGGACGACGACGAGGGGAGGAGG
Molecule: ribosomal RNA, 633 nt
Filed under: uncultured bacterium
Lineage: Bacteria
Description: bacterial SSU rRNA
Rfam family: Bacterial small subunit ribosomal RNA (bases 1-541)
Source: RNAcentral